RNAcentral lists this long non-coding RNA (426 nucleotides) under Dasypus novemcinctus (nine-banded armadillo). RNAcentral describes it as "lncRNA (ENSDNOG00000051020.1)". Lineage: Eukaryota; Metazoa; Chordata; Mammalia; Cingulata; Dasypodidae. The record is from RNAcentral.
GCAAGCCUGCACUGAGGUUCCACUUUGGACUCACUUCCCUGGACGCUCAGUUGCGGCCCUGCCGUGGUCUUGCCUCACUCCCCCUUCAUCCCUGUCCUGGGGUUCUUCUGGUCCCUGGUUCUGCCGAUGGUAUGCCCCCAUGUCCAGGCACGGUCCGCGAGCCCAGCUCCCGCUGAGCUAAGGCUGCUCUACGCUGGGGCCCACGUGGGGCACUAACCCUGGCCUGCCCACCACUCUGGCCCUCCCCGCAUAUACUCCAGCUCCUGGAACCACUCUGCUCUCCUCUGCUCUCCCUGCUUUGCCCUGCCGGAGCAUCAGGAGUUCACAGCCCCCUCCUCGGGCUCGCGGGACCUGGAAUUUAAGAUCUGCCACCGACCAGGAGCCCUGGCUCGGGGAACACACGUCCCCAACGGCCACCAGCACAGC